RNAcentral lists this unclassified non-coding RNA (445 nucleotides) under Hevea brasiliensis (rubber tree). Lineage: Eukaryota; Viridiplantae; Streptophyta; Magnoliopsida; Malpighiales; Euphorbiaceae. The record is from RNAcentral.
CUAAGAAAGGGAAGGCUGCAUUGCUCUUGAAGAGAGACAGGGUAAGAAUGAUGUUCAAUUCCUGUUUUUGUAAAAUUUCGGUUCUUAGGGUAUUUUUUGUUGAGGUUUUAUUUGAUUUGAUUUUUUUUUUUUGGGUAAUAUGGUUCGAUUAGCGAGUUCUGGUAGGUGUAUCAUUGUGUUAUCAAAUCAGGAUUCUAUGCAGAAUGCAUGAUUAUGUUGUUGUCAUUGUUGGGUUUCAUGUGUUCAGUGUAUUUGCGUUUUAAGUUUGAAUUCAAUCUCUUAGAAUUUUGGUCCAAAAACCUUUUCAAUUGAGGUCUAAUCUAAGUUUUAUUGGUUUUAUUUUGAAUUAUCAAUUUGAUAACUUCAUACCCUUUGCUGGAAAUCCCAGACGAGGUCCAAGAGAUUCUUGGAAAUUCAAAAUUUGAGGGAAAACAAGCAAGAAUAU